AUCUUGGGGUUACAAACAAAUUAACCAAAGGCGCUUGCUGCCUCAGCAUGACAUCUAAAAGAAGGCAUAAACAUCGUAUGGCUAAAAAGAGGAGGUUUUAGUACGUAGGCGCUGUGGAACUUUAUAGUUCUGAUGAUGCAGUGAAUCGUGCAUGCGGCAAUUCACCCGUAGUAAGGUGACCGUAUCUUUCGAAGAUUUCCUCCCUCUGCGAUC
Regulatory RNA element from Drosophila willistoni, 213 nucleotides. It matches the Rfam family "R2 RNA element". Rfam says of the family: This family represents the 3' UTR region of the R2 retrotransposable element. This family is known to interact with the R2-encoded reverse transcriptase in a reaction known as target primed reverse transcription (TPRT). The record is from Rfam. NCBI's taxonomy places the organism in Eukaryota, Metazoa, Arthropoda, Insecta, Diptera, Drosophilidae.